RNAcentral lists this ribosomal RNA (266 nucleotides) under uncultured bacterium. RNAcentral describes it as "partial 16S ribosomal RNA". It matches the Rfam family "Bacterial small subunit ribosomal RNA", at positions 89 to 353 of the family's 1533-position model. The record is from RNAcentral.
UGGCGACCGGCGCACGGGUGAGUAACACGUAUCCAACCUGCCGAUGACUCGGGGGAUAGCCUUUCGAAAGAGAGAUUAAUACCCGAUGGCAUAGUUCUUCCGCAUGGUAGAACUAUUAAAGAAUUUCGGUCAUCGAUGGGGAUGCGUUCCAUUAGGUUGUUGGCGGGGUAACGGCCCACCAAGCCUUCGAUGGAUAGGGGUUCUGAGAGGAAGGUCCCCCACAUUGGAACUGAGACACGGUCCAAACUCCUACGGGAGGCAGCAUG